UACGUAGGGGGCUAGCGUUGUCCGGAAUCAUUGGGCGUAAAGCGCGUGUAGGCGGCCCGGUAAGUCCGCUGUGAAAGUCGGGGGCUCAACCCUCGGAUGCCGGUGGAUACUGUCGGGCUAGAGUACGGAAGAGGCGAGUGGAAUUCCUGGUGUAGCGGUGAAAUGCGCAGAGUAUCAGGAGGAACACCAAUUGCGAAGGCAGCUCGCUGGGACGUCACUGACGCUGAGACGCGAAGCGUGGGGAGCAAACAGG
RNAcentral lists this ribosomal RNA (253 nucleotides) under uncultured bacterium. RNAcentral describes it as "partial 16S ribosomal RNA". It matches the Rfam family "Bacterial small subunit ribosomal RNA", at positions 524 to 776 of the family's 1533-position model. The record is from RNAcentral.